Pararge aegeria (speckled wood butterfly) is the source of this 933-nucleotide long non-coding RNA. RefSeq lists it as uncharacterized. The record is from RefSeq and is a predicted model, not a curated record. Lineage: Eukaryota; Metazoa; Arthropoda; Insecta; Lepidoptera; Nymphalidae. The transcript is spliced from 3 exons.
ACUUACUAAGAUCGACCAGUGGUGUGAAACAACAUUUAUUCAUCAUGGAGAAUUCACCGAAUGAUGAAUAUACUUUAAAGCACUUCUAUUACCCACUCAAUAUAUCAGAUGAUCAAGAUAUGAGUGACAAUAACAAGACCGCAAUGAGAAGGAGCAACAGUAUAGAUGCUUUUUUUGAAAAGCAAAAGAAAAAGAAGAGACAGUCAAAGUCUUCAUGUGUAGCGCAAGCAAGUGACGGGGGCCUAUCAUAUAUCUCAUCCAACGACGAUGACAGUAUCAGUGCAACACAUCUAAUCAAAAUAGACAUCUAUGACAUGAAGAGAAUUAAAGAUGUUUCGCCUCUUGAAUACUGGAAAUAUGCAGAUUUGCGAUUAAAGUACUACGUUGAAUCUGCUGGUGAUAAGCACUAUCAAAGCAUGCGAGAUAUUAUAUACAACAUUACAAAGCAAAUCGCUGGGAAGCAUGACUGUAAAAAAUACUUUAUUGACAGAGAUAACCAGAAACAAUAAGUAUUCUCUGAACCAGCGGUCGGUAAACAUCACAAAGUAAAAAGACCCUCUAUACGAACCCAUGAAAACUUAAGUGCUUAUUACCUGUAUUUUAAAAAUAUUUUUCUUUAUCUAUUUGCUAUCCCCACUGCUUCAUGCAAGCGAAACUAAUAUAAAAGCUAUCCUUUUUCUUAAAUGUACUUCAUAUUCUAAGUUACCACACAAAACUGCACAAUGACUGUCGAACUCAACGACUUUGUUUACGAAGAAGAAAUGGUUGAGCUAUGUCAAGCAGCGGAAGUUGAAUUUGACUUAGUGAACCUGUGUAUACAAGUAGAAACCGAUCAAGCUGCUUUAUCAAGACAAAGUGGAGGAGGUGUAAAAAGAAAAAUUGCUGUCACAAAAUAUUCUUCGAGUAAGCGUCCAUUUUCUCAAGAGCCUUCAA